CUCUCAAGUGGGAGCUAAGAUGAACACGCCAAGGGAUCCAGUAGGGCCAGUGGAUUCCAGGAGAGAGCAGACGGAUGGUGCGGGCACAGGGGUGGGACUCUUACGGGGACACAGAGAGGUAAGCAAUCCGCUCCAGGACAGAGGUGGGAGCGCUGUCGGGCUCCUGGCAGGACUCUCUGGGUGGAGGAGACCCAGCCCGUGGGAAGCUAGGUCGACAGUUCCCAGCUCCAACCACGAGGGAGACAGCAUCCGGGAGCCCAGAGCAGCCUCAAAGGCACAGCACACAUGGAAGGAAAAGCAGAGGACAGAGCAGAAGAAGCUUUGGAAGGGAUUGCAGCCGAGACCUCUGCACAGCUAGUGGCAGAGAUACACCAUAGACCCGAGCAGCUCCGAGAAGACCCAGAGGGAUAGAGACGAUGACCCUGAAACCCCCCCAUGCAGACCCUGGACAUUCAAGUGCAGAGAACAGAAAACAAACCCAGAGUCCUGAGAGGAGCUGGAGGGAAGUCUUCCCCGCUGUGGAUGGACAUCGUGUCCUGUCCAGAGCCGCAGCAGGAAAACAGUGAGAAAUACACAAAACCACCCUCCCAGAAGUCACUGAAACUACCGUCCAAGGUGGAGGAGGCACCGCCUCCUUCAAGCCACGAUGGAGAGCAUGCAGCCCAGGGCCGGCCUCGUAGGCAGCGCUGGACGACGUCCUCGGGCCAGAGCUUGGCUUCACCGGGAGACCAGGAGGCAGCACAGAAGCAACAAGAGUAAGGGCCUCAGUGUCCCCACAUCCUUCCAGGACAGCUGUGCAGAGGCAAGCACCUGCGUGACUGCGUGGUCACAUAAUGUCCAUGUGUGUGCGCAUAUGCGAGCCACCAGCCCAUGAGCACGUCUGCAUCGUCCAUCCUGUCCCCACCUGAAUGGCAGCACAUGGCAGGACAGUGAGUUCCAACUGUUGCUGGCAUUGCAAUCACCCAGAGAAAGAAGCAUGGCUCCACCCUAGAGAUCCUGAGCCCAUCUCAGGAGAGGCUGAACGAUGAUGGCCAAUCUUGGACUCUCCUGAGGCUCGCGUUCUGGAUGCAGGGGAGGCCCCACCAACUAGCUAUUUUCAGAGAAAGUGGACAGGUCCUGGUGAAAUCACAAGCCACAAUUAUCUCUAGCUCCAGGUUUUAUGGGGCAGGCCUAGAAGUGGCCUGCAGCCCAUCAUCCGGAGCUUGGCCAGCCCCCUAAACAGUGAGGUGGUAUGGAAAACACAGUCUUCUGGAGGAUGAGCACCAGGACUGGUCAACAUUGUCCUUAGCAUGAGGACCUACAUGGUUGUAGUUUCCCUGUCCUCAGAGAGAACAGAGGAGGGACUGAGCUGAUGGGAGGUGUUGCUGCACAAUCUGGAAUCUAGCCCUCUAAAUGCCACCAGGGAGUGAGAGCCUCACACAGCGGGGAACAUAGUCCCACCCAUCAGCAAACCCUGGAGAGCUAGCCAUGUGGCCCUGGCCCACCGCAGGCUGGAGGGCAGUCUCCACACCGGUGGCAGGCAGGCAGGCAUGCACCGGGCACAUGGCUUCGGUAGGGGCUAGGCUUCCCUUUAGGGUGAUGAGGAGGCCGGCAAUCCAUCUAGGGCAUGCACACUGGGUGGACAGACCGCAGCUCGGGCCCAUCUGUGCAGCCUCACUCUUUGCAGGCCCUGGAAGCUCUGGGACUCAGGACAGAGGGGAGGCUGGAGGCCAAAGCCCCAGGUCCUGGG
This is a long non-coding RNA of Canis lupus familiaris (dog), 1729 nucleotides long. RefSeq lists it as uncharacterized. The record is from RefSeq and is a predicted model, not a curated record. Lineage: Eukaryota; Metazoa; Chordata; Mammalia; Carnivora; Canidae. The transcript is spliced from 3 exons.